RNAcentral lists this long non-coding RNA (1367 nucleotides) under Sus scrofa (pig). RNAcentral describes it as "lncRNA (ENSSSCG00030035232.1)". The record is from RNAcentral. Lineage: Eukaryota; Metazoa; Chordata; Mammalia; Artiodactyla; Suidae.
AUUUCUUUGGGCCGCUCCUGUGGCAUAUGGAGGUUCCCAGGCUAGGGGUCCAAUCGGAGCUGUAGCCGCCAGCCUACGCCGGAGCCACAGCAACGCAGGAUCCGAGCCGCGUCUGCAACCUACACCACAGCUCAUGGCAAUGCCGGAUUGUUAACCCACUGAGCAAGGGCAGGGAUCGAAUCCGCAACCUCAUGGUUCCUAGUCGGAUUCGCUAACCACUGCGCCACGACGGGAACUCCAAUCUACUAAUUCUAUUACUGAUGGAUAUAAGGCUUGACGUUACUGGUUAUUACAAAUAAAGCUUCUACGAACCUUCUUAAACAAAACUUUUGGUAAAAAUAAACACAUAUUCCUGUUGAAUAUAUACCCAGGGAGGGAACUGCUAGAUCUUUAAGACAUACACAUAGUUAUUAGCUUUAGCAGUUAUGGCCUAACAUUUCUUCAAAGUGGCUAUGUUAAAUACAUAUACUCUCAUCAGCAGUGUAAUAGCAUUCCAAUUCUUCCACAUCCUCACCAACUCUACUGGUCAUUCUAGCAGCUGUGUUCUAUCUUACUAUAGUUCUAAUUUACAUUUAUCUGAUGAUUAGUGACGGUGAAUACCAUUUUCUUUGGUUUACUGGCCAUUUCUUGAUAUCCUUUUCCGUAAAGUGACCAUUUUACAGUGUGCAGAAGUCUUUUUAGAUCCAAGAAUUUUACUGAAUAUGCUCACUAUGGUCUAUAUCUUAGCCUUACACUUUGUUUACAGUACCUUGAACAAAUUUAACAUAGUAAGUUUACAGUGGAGAAUUUGGGCAACUCCUUAAUUAGGUGAUCAAAAUUAAUAUCACAUAUGAUAGAUAGAUGGAUAUCCUGUGUGUGAUAUUCUGAGAAGGACACAACAUAAACUAAGUGGUUUUCUGAGAAUGUAUAACCUAAUAAAGAAAAUUCAAGAAAACAUAGAAUGAAAAACACUAUAUUUAAACAACAGGGAGACUGCAUUCCUCAAAAAUAUCCUUGAGGAGUUCCUGUCGUGGCUCAGCAGAAACAAAUCUAACUAGCAUCCAUGAGGACACGGGUUCUAUCCCUGGCCUCCCUCAGUGGGUUAAUGAUCCGGCAUUGCCAUGAGCUAUGGUGUUUUGCUGUGGGCUGCGGUGUAGGUUGCAGAUGAAGCUUGGAUUUGGUGUUGCUGUGGCUGUGAGCCGCAUGUGCAACCUACACCACAGCUCACAGCAAUGCCAAAUCCUUAACCCACUGAGCAAGGCCGGGGGACUGAAGCUGCAUCCUCAUAGAUACUAGUCAGAUUAGUUUCUGCUGAACCACAACAGGAACUCCUGUUUUUUAAAUUUUUUAAAAAAUUGAAGUAUUUACAAUGCUGUGUUAGUUUCUGG